Molecule: ribosomal RNA, 442 nt
Filed under: uncultured bacterium
Lineage: Bacteria
Description: partial 16S ribosomal RNA
Source: RNAcentral
CACGUAGUUAGCCGUGACUUUCUCACAGGGUACCGUCACUGUCUUCUUCCCCUGCGACAACAGUUUACAAUCCGAAGACCUUCUUCCUGCACGCGGCGUUGCUGCGUCAGGGUUGCCCCCAUUGCGCAAUAUUCCCCACUGCUGCCUCCCGUAGGAGUCUGGGCCCGUGUCUCAGUCCCAAUGCGGCCGAUCAACCUCUCAGUUCGGCUACAGAUCGUCGCCUUGGUGAGCCGUUACCUCACCAACCAGCUAAUCUGACGCGAGUCCAUCCAUAAGCGAUAAAUCUUUACAAAAUUCUAUGAUGCCAUAAAUUUCAAUAUGCGGUAUUAGUCCUCGUUUCCAAGGAUUACUCCCCCUUAUUAGUGGGCUAGGUUACCUCACGUCGUUACUCCGCCCGUCCGCCUACCUUUCCACCCUAACACGUUCCGACCCCGAAGGGACU